GAUGAACGCUAGCUACAGGCUUAACACAUGCAAGUCGAGGGGAAACGACAUCGAAAGCUUGCUUUUGAUGGGCGUCGACCGGCGCACGGGUGAGUAACGCGUAUCCAACCUGCCUACCACUUGGGGAUAACCUUGCGAAAGUAAGACUAAUACCCAAUGACGUCUCUAGAAGACAUCUGAAAGAGAUUAAAGAUUGAUCGGUGAUGGAUGGGGAUGAGUCUGAUGAGCUUGUUGGCGGGGGUAACGGCCCACCAAGGCGACGAUCAGUAGGGGUUCUGAGAGGAAGGCCCCCCACAUUGGAACUGAGACACGGUCCAAACUCCUACGGGAGGCAGCAGUGAGGAAUAUUGGUCAAUGGGCGAGAGCCUGAACCAGCCAAGUAGCGUGCAGGAUGACGGCCCUAUGGGUUGUAAACUGCUUUUAUAAGGGAAUAAAGUGAGUCUCGUGAGACUUUUUGCAUGUACCUUAUGAAUAAGGACCGGCUAAUUCCGUGCCAGCCGCCGCGGUAA
This 509-nucleotide ribosomal RNA is filed under the name uncultured bacterium. Its description in RNAcentral is "partial 16S ribosomal RNA". It matches the Rfam family "Bacterial small subunit ribosomal RNA", at positions 28 to 523 of the family's 1533-position model. The record is from RNAcentral.